CCUACGGGAGGCUGCAGUGAGGAAUAUUGGUCAAUGGCCGGAAGGCUGAACCAGCCAUGCCGCGUGAAGGUCAGUGCCCUAUGGGCGUUAAACUUCUUUUGUGCGGGAGCAAUAAUGGUCACGUGUGGCCAGACGAGAGUACCGUACGAAUAAGCAUCGGCUAACUCCGUGCCAGCAGCCGCGGUUAUACGGGGGAUGCAAGCGUUAUCCGGAUUUUUUGGGUUUAAAGGGUGCGUAGGCUGUGAGGUAAGUCAGCGGUGAAAUGCCCCCGCUCAACGGGGUGAAGUGCCAUUGAUACUGGCGUGCUGGAGUGGGGAUGAGGUGGGAGGAAUGUGUGGUGGAGCGGUGAAAUGCAUAGAUAUCACACAGAACACCGAUUGCGAAGGCAUCUCACGAAUCCGCGAUUGACGCUGAUGCACGAAAGCGUGGGUAUCAAACAGGAUUAGAUACCCGUGUAGUC
RNAcentral lists this ribosomal RNA (460 nucleotides) under uncultured bacterium. Its description in RNAcentral is "partial 16S ribosomal RNA". It matches the Rfam family "Bacterial small subunit ribosomal RNA", at positions 338 to 795 of the family's 1533-position model. The record is from RNAcentral.